This is a long non-coding RNA of Zingiber officinale, 739 nucleotides long. RefSeq lists it as uncharacterized. The record is from RefSeq and is a predicted model, not a curated record. Lineage: Eukaryota; Viridiplantae; Streptophyta; Magnoliopsida; Zingiberales; Zingiberaceae. The transcript is spliced from 3 exons.
UCCCCGAUCCCUCGCCGAAACCGUGCCUGUGCCCAGCCUCACCGACACUGCCUUCUUCGCGUGCCCUAAUCGGGUCACGGCAGUUUCUCCCCUCUCCGCGUACAAAACCACUCGGCCAAGGGGUUUUGCAUCUUCCCUCUCACGCCGCUGUCUUCCUCCUUCGACAACCUUCUCGCCACUGCCUGAAGCCCUCCUCUGCCGCCACCACAGCGACGUUGUCCCUGCGCCCUAGCCGCCGGCGACGCACGGAGCAGCGCCGCACCCCCCGGUGCCCUAGUGUCGAUCACCACGCACCCUUUCUUCCUCUGCCCUAGUUUGUGUUCACGACCGAUUCUCUGUGCCGGCACUCGAGCCUAGCGCCGACGCCGCCUCCCGAUUCCUCUCCCCUCCUCUGGUCCGACGAGACAUCGCCGGCCCCUCCUCUGUGCUUGUGCCCUAGCGAGCCGACGCCACUUCCUUGCCACUGCCGCUACACCCUUUGCCCCAGUGCCGAACCGACCCUUUCUUCUGCCCUAGCCGAGCCUCACACUUGUGUGAGUUGCUGCCCUGGGUUCUACCGAGCCUUGGGUUUAGGGUCAGUGGCUCACUUUAGCUACGACCACAGUUCUGGCAGCAGGUGCUCCAUCGACAAAUUUACGAUGAAGUAUACGAAUUUGGGUGAGUUUGGAUUGAGGGUUUUGACGCGAGACGAGCAUCUCGACAUCAGAUUUGGACUAGAUUGGAUCCUCUCUUUUGGAGG